Molecule: long non-coding RNA, 234 nt
Organism: Juglans microcarpa x Juglans regia
Lineage: Eukaryota; Viridiplantae; Streptophyta; Magnoliopsida; Fagales; Juglandaceae
Exons: 3
Source: RefSeq, a predicted model, not a curated record
UCAUCAUCGGCUGAAAUUUAAUUAAACAACACUAAGAUUCAGUUUAUGGCAAAUAGAUAAUUGUACAGUUGAACCACCAACAUAAAUAAAUCUAAUAAAAAGAUCAACUUUUACUCUGCAACUACAAACUAACUUCAUGCAUUUGAAACCAAAACUAACAAAACCCAAAAUUAGAUGUCUAUUUAUCAGUUUUCCCAGCAACCAUACAGCAGGCCUCAGAGAGAAGAUUAGAUU